Molecule: small nucleolar RNA, 138 nt
Filed under: Ornithorhynchus anatinus (platypus)
Lineage: Eukaryota; Metazoa; Chordata; Mammalia; Monotremata; Ornithorhynchidae
Source: RNAcentral
UCCCUCUCAAGGUUGCACCUGGAGAGUUUCCAGUACUCUACCAGUCUCGACUAUGGGAGGGAAGGUCAAACAGAAGCAUAACCCUUCCAUUCCUAGCUAGGGCAGUGGCUAACGAGUGGAAGGCAAUCUGCUACAAGU